Molecule: transfer RNA, 73 nt
Filed under: Camelus bactrianus (Bactrian camel)
Lineage: Eukaryota; Metazoa; Chordata; Mammalia; Artiodactyla; Camelidae
Also listed under: 1 other name
Rfam family: tRNA
About the family: Transfer RNA (tRNA) molecules are approximately 80 nucleotides in length.
Source: Rfam by way of RNAcentral
GAGGGUAUAGCUCAAGUGGUAGAGCACUUGCCUAGCACGCAUGAGGUCCUGGGUUCAAUCUUCAGGAUCUCCU